This is a long non-coding RNA of Sebastes umbrosus (honeycomb rockfish), 214 nucleotides long. RefSeq lists it as uncharacterized. NCBI's taxonomy places the organism in Eukaryota, Metazoa, Chordata, Actinopteri, Perciformes, Sebastidae. The transcript is spliced from 2 exons. The record is from RefSeq and is a predicted model, not a curated record.
ACAAGUAGGCCACUGAUGCUGAUUUUAAUCAACAGUGCGACCGCCGGGGUGAUGCCAACACAGCUGAAGUCAUAGUAGAUAAAAGUCAGAUCCGCAUUCGGUUUGUUGCUCUCGCUUUGUUUCCAGACGGAUCACGAUCGAGAUGUGAGAUGUGCGCGGCUCCUCCUCCAGCACCGGAUCUAUCAGCCUAUCUUCUACUGUACGGAGAGCGGAU